CUUAAAUUGAUAGCCCCAACUCGUGCACCAGUGCUCUGACUUCGCACCAUUUCUUGUUGAAACAUCCUUUGUGUAACUGUAGUUAUUGGUAUCUGAACUGCAUAGCUCAGUUUUCAGCCUUGUAUAAAUGUUCUUGUCAUAAGCCGAGAUGAGAGCUUCUCUAACAGAUUUCUUCUCCUGUUCACUAUUGUCACCUUGCUCAGUUGCAUGCUUGGAAUCAGG
RNAcentral lists this unclassified non-coding RNA (222 nucleotides) under Hevea brasiliensis (rubber tree). The record is from RNAcentral. Lineage: Eukaryota; Viridiplantae; Streptophyta; Magnoliopsida; Malpighiales; Euphorbiaceae.